UAGGAAAAAUUAAAAGCAAUUUAUAGUAGAACCAAAAUAUAACAGGGAUUCCUGAAUGUAAAAUUUAUGUAUAAUUAUAACAUUUACAGCAUUUAUAUAUAUUAUUACAGAUCCAUUUGUAAGAGUUCAUCCUUUUGAAACAGCUCAAUUUUUAGUUGAUAGCAUUAUUGAACAUUAUAAAGAGGAGUUAAAAAGCCAAGCUGCAAAAAUCUUGGGUGCCGUCGACUUCCUCGGCAAUCCCCUCGGUCUGCUGUACGACGUGUCCGACGGAGUGAAUGACCUCUUGAACGAGGGAGACGUGAGAGGUCUGAUAAAGAACGUUGCCCACGGAUUGUCCGAUUCCGCGGCCAAAAUGACCGGAUCCCUGUCCGACAGUUUGGGUCUGGUGGCCAUGGAUAAUCACCAUCAAGAGAUUAGAAAAAAGAUUAAAUACGACGUUAAUGCAGGAAGCGAUCAUUUGGUCGCAGGACUGAAAGGAUUUGGAUAUGGUUUAUUUGGAGGAGUCACUAGUCUAAUUACGCAAACGUACGAAGGAGCUUCGACGGAAGGUGUUCAGGGUUUUUUCUCGGGAUUGGGAAAAGGUCUGGUGGGAACGGUAGCCAAACCGGCCGCCGGAUUUCUGGAUCUGGCCACGGGCGCGGCCAGCGCCGUCCGAGACACCAGUCGUAGAAAUUCUCACGCCCAACCCGAGAGGUGUCGUCUGCCCAGGGUCUGUUUCGGACCGGGCGGUCUCCUCCCUCCUUAUAAUGCCGACCAGGCUAGAGGUCAGCAGAUUUUCUUUGCAGUCAGUAGCAAUCAUCACGAAAGAUUCGUAUCGUAUCACUGUCUGAGGAGGGCAGAAGGAAUGGAGCUGCUACUGACCGACGCACACAUAAUCAUUGUCAAUAGGAGUUCGACAUCCACCGAUCAGAUUCUUUUAGUGUCACUAGAGAAUUUAUUAGAAUGUGCUUAUGUUCAGCCGACCGUGGGAGAAAUUAGGCACUACGUACAGCUAACGUUAAAGGCGGGAACACCGAGUUUGGCCGAUCAACCCGGAAAGAGACCUCAAUUUCGCUGUGAUACACAAACAUUGGCAUACACCGUUGUGGAAGAAAUAAAUUACGUCAAAGAGCUUCACGAAGAGAGAUUUUAUACUUUACCUGAAGACGAAAUAGAAGAAUUAGACGAUUGAUUAUUAGAAUUCUGUUGUGUUGUAAUAUAUUUAAAAUGUGUAUAGAAACAAUUUGUACAAAACAAUAAAAUUUAUUUCAAUUUGAUACUUUUACAAACUCCAGCACGAAUACCAGAUAUUUCUCCUCCAUAUCUUUGCAAUUCUUUCAUUGGUUCCCGAAACUGAAAAGAAAAAAAAAUAACAGCAUUGAAGAUCAAAUCAAGUUACAGAAAAUUUGUUAGUCAUAAUCCAGAAAGGCAGAAAGCCAAAGGUGAUACCAAUAAAAAAACCAAACUAUGAACAGCAUUUCCACUAUGUAAGUGUAAUAAGGCCCAUUGUAGAUCAAAUGAUAGCAUGGGUGCACAAUUUCAGAGCAUCACACAGGUGUCACGGUUUGGAGGCAAGUUAUGACAAUGACUACUUGCUAUUAUAUGGACAGAAUGGUAUACCCUAUUGUAUCCUUCAUGACCAACAGGAUAAUGCUUGUCAUUGCAAGAUGUCAUCUGUGGACUGCCUAGCACCCAGAUUUAUCCUCCCAUGGAUCAUGUUUAGGAUUCCAGGGAAUAGUCACAUGGUCAUCAGUACAAACUGAUGGUCAACUGACUGCAUGAGUCAUGGAGAGAGAUCCAAAAGCAUAUAGAUGCUCAUGAUGGGCACACUUCUGGGUAUUUCCCAACAAAUGUGUACCUCAGACGUUCAGCACCACCAUCUUGUUAGCCUAGAAGUUUGACAAUGGCGUUUGGAACGUCAGUGGAAUCAUGCUCGACAUUCCAAAUGCCAUUGUCAUUGAACUGUCCAAUGUACACAUUUUCGCAUUGAAAA
Molecule: unclassified non-coding RNA, 1972 nt
Filed under: Centruroides sculpturatus (bark scorpion)
Lineage: Eukaryota; Metazoa; Arthropoda; Arachnida; Scorpiones; Buthidae
Description: vacuolar protein sorting-associated protein 13D-like, transcript variant X3
Source: RNAcentral